CCUACGGAGCAGCAGUGGGGAAUAUUGGACAAUGGGCGAAAGCCUGAUCCAGCCAUGCCGCGUGUGUGAAGAAGGCCUUCGGGUUGUAAAGCACUUUCAGUGGGGAAGAAAGCCUUGGGGCUAAUACCCUCGAGGAAGGACAUCACCCACAGAAGAAGCACCGGCUAACUCCGUGCCAGCAGCCGCGGUAAUACGGAGGGUGCGAGCGUUAAUCGGAAUUACUGGGCGUAAAGCGCGCGUAGGCGGUCUGAUAAGCCGGUUGUGAAAGCCCCGGGCUCAACCUGGGAACGGCAUCCGGAACUGUCAGGCUAGAGUGCAGGAGAGGAAGGUAGAAUUCCCGGUGUAGCGGUGAAAUGCGUAGAGAUCGGGAGGAAUACCAGUGGCGAAGGCGGCCUUCUGGACUGACACUGACGCUGAGGUGCGAAAGCGUGGGUAGCAAACAGGAUUAGAUACCCUUGUAGUC
Molecule: ribosomal RNA, 463 nt
Filed under: Vreelandella stevensii
Lineage: Bacteria; Pseudomonadati; Pseudomonadota; Gammaproteobacteria; Oceanospirillales; Halomonadaceae
Description: partial 16S ribosomal RNA
Rfam family: Bacterial small subunit ribosomal RNA
Source: RNAcentral